Molecule: ribosomal RNA, 561 nt
Filed under: Triticum aestivum (bread wheat)
Lineage: Eukaryota; Viridiplantae; Streptophyta; Magnoliopsida; Poales; Poaceae
Description: partial small subunit ribosomal RNA
Source: RNAcentral
AUGGCGGCCACCUCCGUCGGCGGCGAGUGGGAGAUCGAAUACGAUGAAGGCUUCGUCUUCAAGCGCCCCCGCGUCCUCUAUCCGGAUGGCGCCGAAGAUACCGGCACGGCGGCGCCCUCUACACCGGCCCCGGACCUCGAGUCCGCCCGCCUCCAGCGCCGCCGCCGCGCGCUCCUCCACCUCCGCGCCAAGUACCAGCCGGAGCUCUCCCGCUGGGAGUCCCUCUCCUCCGACAUCCUUGCUCCGCCCCCCGCCCCCACCGCAGCCACUUCUGGAGCUUCGUCCGCUUCCCCUCUUCCCCUCACCCCCUCGACCGCCACAAUCUCCUCGGACCACACCAUCCUCGAUGACUGUCUCGCGGAGGUGGAGGCGCAGGAGGAAAUGCUCAAAAAAGCAUCGGAGAUGUGUGACCAGAUUGUCGAGUUUUGCAAUGAGUACGAGGCAGCCGUCGUGGAUGCCGUUGCCGCGCUGCCGGCAUGGGGGGAUCCACGGGACCUUGUGAACUCCCUGUGCAGUCAAGAUGAGCAGGCUGCCGGGCAGCCUGUCCCUGGUAUUAAUUAG